UUCUCUCCCCCACGCGUGAUCUCCCUUCUUUCCCCCUCACCAUCGCAUAUUUUUCUUCUUCUUCUUACUUUUCUUUCUUCUCCCCCUCUCGGCCGAACCAUCUCUCUCUCUCUUCUCUCUUCUUCUUCCUUCGAUCACGCCCAAACCUGCAGCAUCUGAACUCUCACACACACAUACUUGAACCCACACACACCCGUGGCAGAGAAAGUCGAGAGUGUUGAGCUGAGUGAAACCCAGCGCGCGAGAGAGAGUGAACCUGUGUGUGGGAGGUGGGUUUGGCCGUGGGUGGUGCGAUGAUGGAAGCUAUGGUGGUUGGGCCACCAUCGGGGCAUGGAGGCAGCGGUUAGGGCAAUGUAUUCCGGCCAUAUUUCGGAUCGUGUCAUAGUUGGAGACUUCAACGGGUUCUCCAAUGUAGAGUUCGAGUCGUGAGUCCAAUGCAGCCAAGAUGAUGUUUCUUUGGCUGCAGGUACUACGGUAUAGUCGAUGGGUCGGUAGCAGUGUGCUUGAGAUAUUAUGACUGAAGCUCGCCGCGACAGUUGUAAUGGUCGGACCACGGGUUGUCCACUAUUUUAUAGGUUUGGUAUGGCUUGUGACGUUUGUGUCACUUAUUCUUUGUUAAGUCAUUAUUGUUAUGUAAAUAUUGUGUUAAUAAGACUCAAACAGAUAGAUGUUAAAUGGCUCAAUAUUGUAAUUAAUUUGUGUUA
Molecule: long non-coding RNA, 704 nt
Organism: Alnus glutinosa
Lineage: Eukaryota; Viridiplantae; Streptophyta; Magnoliopsida; Fagales; Betulaceae
Exons: 3
Source: RefSeq, a predicted model, not a curated record